CAAUAGAGAGUGGCGCACGGGUGAGGAACGCGUGGGAACGUACCCUUUAGUACGGAAUAACAGCGGGAAACUGCUGCUAAUACCGUAUACGCCCUUCGGGGAAAGAUUUAUCGCUAAAGGAUCGGCCCGCGUGAGAUUAGGUAGUUGGUGGGGUAAUGGCCUACCAAGCCUACGAUCUCUAGCUGGUCUGAGAGGAUGAUCAGCCACACUGGAACUGAGACACGGUCCAG
This 230-nucleotide ribosomal RNA is filed under the name uncultured bacterium. Its description in RNAcentral is "partial 16S ribosomal RNA". It matches the Rfam family "Bacterial small subunit ribosomal RNA", at positions 86 to 334 of the family's 1533-position model. The record is from RNAcentral.